RNAcentral lists this ribosomal RNA (482 nucleotides) under uncultured bacterium. RNAcentral's name for it is "partial 16S ribosomal RNA". It matches the Rfam family "Bacterial small subunit ribosomal RNA", at positions 28 to 523 of the family's 1533-position model. The record is from RNAcentral.
GACGAACGCUGGCGGCGUGCUUAACACAUGCAAGUCGAACGAUGAACCGGAGCUUGCUCUGGGGAUUAGUGGCGAACGGGUGAGUAACACGUGGGCAACCUGCCCCAGACACCGGGAUAACCAUUCGAAAGGAUGGCUAAUACCGGAUACGACCACUUCGGGCAUCCGAUGGUGGUGGAAAGGAUUCUGGUCUGGGAUGGGCCCGCGGCCUAUCAGCUUGUUGGUGGGGUAAUGGCCUACCAAGGCGACGACGGGUAGCCGGCCUGAGAGGGCGACCGGCCACACUGGGACUGAGGCACGGCCCAGACUCCUACGGGAGGCAGCAGUGGGGAAUAUUGCGCAAUGGGCGAAAGCCUGACGCAGCGACGCCGCGUGAGGGACGAAGGUCUUCGGAUUGUAAACCUCUUUCAGCAGGGAUGAAGCGAAAGUGACAGUACCUGCAGAAGAAGCACCGGCUAACUACGUGCCAGCAGCCGCCGUAA